UACCAGCACCCCGAGUUGUCGGGACGAUUAUUGGGCCUAAAGCAUCCGUAGCCGGUUCUACAAGUCCUCCGUUAAAUCCACCUGCUCAACAGAUGGGCUGCGGGGGAUACUAUAGGGCUAGGAGGCGGGAGAGGCAAACGGUACUCAGUGGGUAGGGGUAAAAUCCAUUGAUCUACUGAAGACCACCAGUGGCGAAGGCGGUUUGCCAGAACGCGCUCGACGGUGAGGGAUGAAAGCUGGGGGAGCAAAC
This 250-nucleotide ribosomal RNA is filed under the name uncultured bacterium. RNAcentral describes it as "partial 16S ribosomal RNA". It matches the Rfam family "Archaeal small subunit ribosomal RNA", at positions 474 to 724 of the family's 1478-position model. The record is from RNAcentral.